This 1363-nucleotide ribosomal RNA is filed under the name uncultured bacterium. RNAcentral describes it as "bacterial SSU rRNA". It matches the Rfam family "Bacterial small subunit ribosomal RNA". The record is from RNAcentral.
AGAGUUUGAUCCUGGCUCAGGACGAACGCUGGCGGCGCGCCUAACACAUGCAAGUCGAACGAGCGAUGGAGAGCUUGCUUUCCAGAGCGAGUGGCGAACGGGUGAGUAACGCGUGAGGAACCUGCCUCAAAGAGGGGGACAACAGUUGGAAACGACUGCUAAUACCGCAUAAGCCCACGGGUCGGCAUCGACCAGAGGGAAAAGGAGCAAUCCGCUUUGAGAUGGCCUCGCGUCCGAUUAGCUAGUUGGUGAGGUAACGGCCCACCAAGGCGACGAUCGGUAGCCGGACUGAGAGGUUGAACGGCCACAUUGGGACUGAGACACGGCCCAGACUCCUACGGGAGGCAGCAGUGGGGAAUAUUGCACAAUGGGGGAAACCCUGAUGCAGCGACGCCGCGUGGAGGAAGAAGGUCUUCGGAUUGUAAACUCCUGUUGUUGGGGAAGAUAAUGACGGUACCCAACAAGGAAGUGACGGCUAACUACGUGCCAGCAGCCGCGGUAAAACGUAGGUCACAAGCGUUGUCCGGAAUUACUGGGUGUAAAGGGAGCGCAGGCGGGAAGACAAGUUGGAAGUGAAAUCCAUGGGCUCAACCCAUGAACUGCUUUCAAAACUGUUUUUCUUGAGUAGUGCAGAGGUAGGCGGAAUUCCCGGUGUAGCGGUGGAAUGCGUAGAUAUCGGGAGGAACACCAGUGGCGAAGGCGGCCUACUGGGCACCAACUGACGCUGAGGCUCGAAAGUGUGGGUAGCAAACAGGAUUAGAUACCCUGGUAGUCCACACCGUAAACGAUGAUUACUAGGUGUUGGAGGAUUGACCCCUUCAGUGCCGCAGUUAACACAAUAAGUAAUCCACCUGGGGAGUACGACCGCAAGGUUGAAACUCAAAGGAAUUGACGGGGGCCCGCACAAGCAGUGGAAGUAUGUGGUUUAAUUCGACGCAACGCGAAGAACCUUACCAAGUCUUGACAUCCUGUGACAGAAAUAAAAAUACGUUCUUCCUUCGGGACACAGAGACAGGUGGGGCAGGGUUGCCUCCACCUCGUGCCGGGAAAUGUGGGUUAAUCCCGCAACGAGCGCACCCUUAUGGUCUGUUCUCCCCAAGAGGACUUGGCCAAAUGGCGUUGAAAAAAAGGAGAAGGGGGGGGUGAGGCCAAAUCAUCAUGCCCUUUAUGACUUGGGCUACACACGUACUACAAUGGCGUUAAACAAAGAGAAGCAAGACCGCGAGGUGGAGCAAAACUCAGAAACAACGUCCCAGUUCGGACUGCAGGCUGCAACUCGCCUGCACGAAGUCGGAAUUGCUAGUAAUCGUGGAUCAGCAUGCCACGGUGAAUACGUUCCCGGGCCUUGCACACACCGCCCGUC